UUAUCCGGAAUUAUUGGGCGUAAAGGGCUCGUAGGCGGUUCGUCGCGUCCGGUGUGAAAGUCCAUCGCUUAACGGUGGAUCCGCGCCGGGUACGGGCGGGCUUGAGUGCGGUAGGGGAGACUGGAAUUCCCGGUGUAACGGUGGAAUGUGUAGAUAUCGGGAAGAACACCAAUGGCGAAGGCAGGUCUCUGGGCCGUCACUGACGCUGAGGAGCGAAAGCGUGGGGAGCGAACAGGAUUAGAUACCCUGGUAGUCCACGCCGUAAACGGUGGAUGCUGGAUGUGGGGACC
Molecule: ribosomal RNA, 290 nt
Filed under: uncultured bacterium
Lineage: Bacteria
Description: partial 16S ribosomal RNA
Rfam family: Bacterial small subunit ribosomal RNA
Source: RNAcentral